This 499-nucleotide ribosomal RNA is filed under the name uncultured bacterium. Its description in RNAcentral is "partial 16S ribosomal RNA". It matches the Rfam family "Bacterial small subunit ribosomal RNA", at positions 30 to 523 of the family's 1533-position model. The record is from RNAcentral.
AUUGAACGCUGGCGGCAUGCUUUACACAUGCAAGUCGAACGGCAGCACGGACUUCGGUCUGGUGGCGAGUGGCGAACGGGUGAGUAAUACAUCGGAACGUGCCCAGUUGUGGGGGAUAACUACUCGAAAGAGUAGCUAAUACCGCAUGAGAACUGAGGUUGAAAGCAGGGGAUCGUAAGACCUUGCGCAACUGGAGCGGCCGAUGGCAGAUUAGGUAGUUGGUGGGAUAAAAGCUUACCAAGCCGACGAUCUGUAGCUGGUCUGAGAGGACGACCAGUCAGACUAGGACUGAGACACGGCGCAGACUCCUACGGGGGGCAGCAGUGGGGAAUUUUGGACAAUGGGCGAAAGCCUGAUCCAUCAAUGCCGCGUGCAGGAUGAAGGCCUUCGGGUUGUAACUGCUUUUGUACGGAACGAAAAGCUUCGGGUUAAUACCCUGGAGUCAUGACGGUACCGUAAGAAUAAGCACCGGCUAACUACGUGCCAGCCGCCGCGGUAA